Molecule: unclassified non-coding RNA, 337 nt
Filed under: uncultured fungus
Lineage: Eukaryota; Fungi
Description: partial contains 5.8S ribosomal RNA and internal transcribed spacer 2
Rfam family: 5.8S ribosomal RNA (bases 1-133)
Source: RNAcentral
UGGUUCUGGCAUCGAUGAAGAACGCAGCGAAAUGCGAUAAGUAAUGUGAAUUGCAGAAUUCAGUGAAUCAUCGAAUCUUUGAACGCACAUUGCGCCCUUUGGUAUUCCGAGGGGCAUGCCUGUUCGAGCGUCAUUUCAAACCAUCAAGCCCUCGGCUUGGCCUUGGGCCUUAGGACGCCCCUGCUGCGGGCGUCGGCCCCGAAUCCUACUCGGCGGCGGUGCCGUGCCACGGGCGUAGCGAGAACCUCAAGUUCCACGCCCCGGCGCGCGGAGGCCGCCCGCCACAAGAAACCCACAUCCAAAGGUUGACCUCGGAUCAGGCAGGGAUACCCGCUGA